AAUCAAGAGUUCCGGCAUCAAGCCCUGGCUUGCCGGACGGCAACCCUCCGGCUGUAGUGGGGUGCCCCAGGUGAGGAUUCGACGGCGCGCGGGCCCCCGGCGCCGUAAGUAUGGCGC
Molecule: non-coding RNA, 117 nt
Filed under: Sinomonas atrocyanea
Lineage: Bacteria; Bacillati; Actinomycetota; Actinomycetes; Micrococcales; Micrococcaceae
Description: SAM-IV sequence
Rfam family: SAM (S-adenosyl methionine) riboswitch aptamer
About the family: SAM-IV is a mRNA element that regulates gene expression via direct sensing of S-adenosylmethionine (SAM or AdoMet). SAM-IV riboswitches share conserved nucleotide positions with the previously described SAM-I riboswitches sequence analysis and molecular recognition experiments suggest that SAM-I and SAM-IV riboswitches share similar ligand binding sites, but have different scaffolds.
Source: Rfam by way of RNAcentral